This 119-nucleotide ribosomal RNA is filed under the name Pteropus alecto (black flying fox). The record is from RNAcentral. RNAcentral also lists the same sequence under 1 other name. Lineage: Eukaryota; Metazoa; Chordata; Mammalia; Chiroptera; Pteropodidae.
GUCUAUGCCCAUGCUACCCUGAAAAAGCUCAAUCCCAUCUGAUCUCGGAAGCUAAGCAGGGUCAGACCUGGCUAGUACUUGGAUAGGAGAUCACCUAGGAAGACCAGGUGCUGUAGGCA